UACGAAGGGGGCUAGCGUUGCUCGGAUUGACUGGGCGUAAAGGGCGCGUAGGCGGGUUGGACAGUCAGAUGUGAAAUUCCUGGGCUCAACCUGGGGGCUGCAUUUGAUACGUUCGGACUAGAGUGGGGAAGAGGGUCGUGGAAUUCCCAGUGUAGAGGUGAAAUUCGUAGAUAUUGGGAAGAACACCGGUGGCGAAGGCGGCGACCUGGUCCUUGACUGACGCUGAGGCGCGAAAGCGUGGGGAGCAAACAGG
This 253-nucleotide ribosomal RNA is filed under the name uncultured bacterium. RNAcentral's name for it is "partial 16S ribosomal RNA". It matches the Rfam family "Bacterial small subunit ribosomal RNA", at positions 524 to 776 of the family's 1533-position model. The record is from RNAcentral.